CUCCUUCCGUCAGUCCUCCCUCCAUCCCUCCACAGCCUGACCAUCCCACGCUCUCACACACCCAGGGGCUGAUGAGGAAGGAGCCACAAACCGGAGCUGGAAGUUAGUAAAUUGGCAGCGUUCCCACACUGGGUCCGGUACCUCGGCCGGCUGGGCUUGAACAUUCUCUGGGGUGUUGUUCUCAGUCGGAGGCGACGGAGACGAAAUCGCCGCCUGCCCAGGCCCUGGCUGGGAUAGCGGGAGCCCAGGCCCCGGGGCCGAGGGGCACGAGCAGGGCGUAGAGGGCCCAUCCAGGCCAACAGCUCCCAGCAACUACCUUCUCAGACUUUGCUGCAGCAGGGGACACAGAGGGGGUCUAUGACACGGGGCUGCCUACAUAAAGGAUGGGCGGGGAAAGUGACCCUGGCCUAUCCCCCCAAGUUACACUCCUCAACCUCUCCCAAGGUCAUCUUGGCCAGGCCCCUGCCUCAAGGUUGGAUUGUGCCCCCCUGGCCCUCUGGAGAAGCUUCCUGCCCCGCAACCCCAGGACCAGAUCUAUGAAUAGGGAAAGAGUUCGUGACCAAAGAAGAUAGAGAAGUCCACAGGAGGUCAAAUGGAUAAUUUGGGCUACAUAAAAUUCAAAAGUAUUUGCACAAACAAAACCAAUUCAGCCAAAUUAGAAGAGAAGUAGGAAACUGGGUCACUACUGGAUGUUUCCAGCUACUGCUGGGCUCUAGUUCUAGGUCAGUCCCAAAGUUUACUCCUUACCCCUCAGGACAUCAGUGUUGGGUUGCUGCAACACUCAAGCUGAAUUCUACUCCUAAAUUGCUAAGGCAUGGAUGCUCUGCUUCCUCUACCUAGAAUAGAAAAGCAUAAAUGAAAGGGCCAAGAAGACCCCAUUUCUCUCCUCAGAGACGGAAGUCUCCAUAGAUCUUCCCUUACACCAUUGGCUAACCCCUCACAUCACCAGGGUUCAGUUGAAAAUAAUGAAAGCAAAGACAUGGACAGUGCUGACUCAAACCUUUUGGAAGAGGCUAACAGUUCUGGCUACACAGCCAGUUGAAAAGGACUCCUCCCAACUAUGCAAUUAGUCAACUGGAAACAGUUACAGAAUGUCCACACAUGCUCCAGUGUCUCUCCAAGACACUGCCUUUACCUGCCAUGAUUCCCCCAGAAGAAGCUCUCAAGUGGAGAGAUGCCAUCUGCUCUCAAGAGUCUUCCACAUGGAGACACACACCAUCUGAGGCACCAUGAGCAUGUGCCAGAUCCCCAUUACAAUUUUUUCCCAAAAAACCCC
RNAcentral lists this long non-coding RNA (1276 nucleotides) under Phascolarctos cinereus (koala). Its description in RNAcentral is "lncRNA (ENSPCIG00000036041.1)". The record is from RNAcentral. Lineage: Eukaryota; Metazoa; Chordata; Mammalia; Diprotodontia; Phascolarctidae.